CAGGGCCGGAAAGUUGGUCAAACCCGGUCAUUUAGAGGAAGUAAAAGUCGUAACAAGGUCUCCGUAGGUGAACCUGCGGAGGGAUCAUU
This 89-nucleotide ribosomal RNA is filed under the name Cladosporium angustisporum. RNAcentral's name for it is "partial 18S ribosomal RNA". It matches the Rfam family "Eukaryotic small subunit ribosomal RNA", at positions 1742 to 1830 of the family's 1831-position model. Lineage: Eukaryota; Fungi; Ascomycota; Dothideomycetes; Cladosporiales; Cladosporiaceae. The record is from RNAcentral.